RNAcentral lists this ribosomal RNA (896 nucleotides) under Enterococcus faecium. RNAcentral describes it as "bacterial SSU rRNA". It matches the Rfam family "Bacterial small subunit ribosomal RNA", at positions 1 to 871 of the family's 1533-position model. Lineage: Bacteria; Bacillati; Bacillota; Bacilli; Lactobacillales; Enterococcaceae. The record is from RNAcentral.
UAUGAGAGUUUGAUCCUGGCUCAGGACGAACGCUGGCGGCGUGCCUAAUACAUGCAAGUCGAACGCUUCUUUUUCCACCGGAGCUUGCUCCACCGGAAAAAGAGGAGUGGCGAACGGGUGAGUAACACGUGGGUAACCUGCCCAUCAGAAGGGGAUAACACUUGGAAACAGGUGCUAAUACCGUAUAACAAUCGAAACCGCAUGGUUUUGAUUUGAAAGGCGCUUUCGGGUGUCGCUGAUGGAUGGACCCGCGGUGCAUUAGCUAGUUGGUGAGGUAACGGCUCACCAAGGCCACGAUGCAUAGCCGACCUGAGAGGGUGAUCGGCCACAUUGGGACUGAGACACGGCCCAAACUCCUACGGGAGGCAGCAGUAGGGAAUCUUCGGCAAUGGACGAAAGUCUGACCGAGCAACGCCGCGUGAGUGAAGAAGGUUUUCGGAUCGUAAAACUCUGUUGUUAGAGAAGAACAAGGAUGAGAGUAACUGUUCAUCCCUUGACGGUAUCUAACCAGAAAGCCACGGCUAACUACGUGCCAGCAGCCGCGGUAAUACGUAGGUGGCAAGCGUUGUCCGGAUUUAUUAGUUCUUGACAAAUAACAAACGAUAAGUUAUGAUAAAUGAGUUGCUGAAAGAUUUCGAAAAACGAAAUCGAAAAAAACUUUUAAAAAGAGUUGACAAUCGCUUGUCGGAAUUCCAUGUGUAGCGGUGAAAUGCGUAGAUAUAUGGAGGAACACCAGUGGCGAAGGCGGCUCUCUGGUCUGUAACUGACGCUGAGGCUCGAAAGCGUGGGGAGCAAACAGGAUUAGAUACCCUGGUAGUCCACGCCGUAAACGAUGAGUGCUAAGUGUUGGAGGGUUUCCGCCCUUCAGUGCUGCAGCUAACGCAUUAAGCACUCCG